Molecule: ribosomal RNA, 430 nt
Filed under: uncultured archaeon
Lineage: Archaea
Description: bacterial SSU rRNA
Rfam family: Archaeal small subunit ribosomal RNA
Source: RNAcentral
UACCAGCUCUCCGAGUGGUAGGGAUGAUUAUUGGGCUUAAAGCGUCCGUAGCCGGCUUAGCAAGUCUCCUGUUAAAUUCAGCGACCUAAUCGUUGAGCCGCGGGAGAUACUACUAGGCUAGGAGGCGGGAGAGGUCAACGGUACUUCCGGGGUAGGGGUGAAAUCCUAUAAUCCCGGGAGGACCACCAGUGGCGAAGGCUGUUGACUAGAACGCGCUCGACGGUGAAGGACGAAAGCUGGGGGAGCGAACCGGAUUAGAUACCCGGGUAGUCCCAGCUGUAAACGAUGCGAGCUAGGUGUUGGGGUGGCUACGUGCCACUUCAGUGCCGCAGGGAAGCCAUUAAGCUCACCGCCGUGGGGAGUACGGCCGCAAGGCUGAAACUUAAAGGAAUUGGGCGGGGAGCACCACAAGGCGUGAAGCUUGCGGUUC